This is a long non-coding RNA of Xiphophorus couchianus (Monterrey platyfish), 129 nucleotides long. RefSeq lists it as uncharacterized. Lineage: Eukaryota; Metazoa; Chordata; Actinopteri; Cyprinodontiformes; Poeciliidae. The transcript has 3 exons. The record is from RefSeq and is a predicted model, not a curated record.
AAAUAAUCAGAACACCAGAUCUCAACCCAGUACAAAACCUUUAGGAUGUGGUGGAACCAGAGAUUCACAUCAUGGAUGUGCAGCUGAGAAAUCUGCAGCAACUGCAUGAUGCUGUCAUAAAUAUAUAUA